Molecule: long non-coding RNA, 1659 nt
Filed under: Homo sapiens (human)
Lineage: Eukaryota; Metazoa; Chordata; Mammalia; Primates; Hominidae
Description: HSALNT0398131
Source: RNAcentral
CUGCUGUAGCCCCUACGUGGUGAGUAGAUCGUCUCCACAGAAAUCAGCGGAGGCUUCCACAGUCCCUGGUUGGAAUGGAACCGGCGGUGAGGAUGAGAGGCGCUGAAGACCAGAAGACCCAGGGCGUGAACGGGGCGUGUCAUCCCUGGAGUUUCAGUAGAAUUUCAGGCCUGUCUGCUUGAGCAGCAGAGGAGGAGUUUCUGUGUGCCUGUGAGAGACUGUGUGUGUGUGUGUGUGUGUGUGUGUGUGUGAGAUGAAUGAACAGGGUUGUGUACGUGUGUGUGCGUUAGACAAAUGAACAGUGUUGUGUACCUGUGUGAAUUGUCACUGUGACUCCAGGCUCUAGGCUCUGCAGAUUCCUCAGCCCUAUCGCCUCACAGACACUUGGGAUGUGCAGCAGGUAAAAGAGAGAAGCCAGAUUCAUGGAGGCGUGAAGGAUCCCAGCAAGAAAACACAGACUUGAUCUUGAGACGAGAUUUUUGAAAUUGGUUGCGGCCUCAAGGCAGGCUCUGAGAAGACUCGAUAAAGAGUUCUCAGGAAUAGGCAUCCCUCCUGGAUAUUUCCCCCUUGGAAGCGCCGAGGAGCCAGCUCUAUGUUUGUAACCAUAGCAUUUCUAAAGCUCCAGCCCCAGGAACCUGCUGUGAAUUAGAGACAGAUUCCACCCUAGGCAUCACUGAUCUUGGCCUCUCUUGUAUUGGGAAGGUCAACACUGUUCCAGUUUCUCUCCUACUCCCAUCUGGUUGUGCUCGGUGAAGUAGUGCUACCCUUCUGUUAAAAAAAAAAAAAAAAAAAAGAUCCUGAAAGAGGAAAGAAUUUUUGCUACACAUCUGAAAGCUAAAGUCCAGACUUGGAACCAACCCAAAUGCCCAUCAGUGAUAGACUGGAUAAAGAAAAUAUGGCACAUAUACACCAUGGAAUACUAUGCAACCAUAAAAAAGAAUGAAAUCAUGUCCUCUGCAAGGACAUGGAUGAAGCUGGAAGCCAUCAUUCUCAGCAAACUAAUGCAGAAACUGAAAACCAAGCACCACAUGUUCUCACUCAUAAGUGGGGGUUGAACAAUGAGAACACAUGGCACAGGGAAAGGAACAACACACACUGGAGCCUGUCGGGGAGUUGGGGGGCAAGGGGAGGGAGAGCACUGGACAAAUUACCUAAUGCAUGUGGGGCUUAAAACCUAAAUGUCAGAUUGAUAGGUACAGCAAACCACCAUGACACAUAUAUACCUAUGUAAAAAACCUACACAUCUGCACCUGUAUCCCAGAACUUAAAGUAAAAUAAAAAUGAAUUAAUUAAUUUUGAAGAAAAAGAAACCAAUAAUCCAAUUUAAAAAUGGGCAAGGACUUGAAUAGACUUUUUUCCAAAGAUGACACGCAAAUGGUUAAGUGGUACCUGAAAAGCACAUCAGACAAAUGCAAAUGAAACCACAAUGAGAUGUUACCACAAUACCUGUUAGGAUGACUAUUAUAAAAAGAAAGUAGGUAAGUGGGCUGGGCGCGGUGGCUCACCCCUGUAAUCCCAGCACUUUGGGAGGCCGAGGCGGGCGGAUCACGAGGUCAGGAGAUUGAGACCACGGUGAAACCCCGUCUCUACUAAAAAUACAAAAAUAAUUAGCCGGGCACGGUGGCAGGCGCCUGUAGUCCCAGCUACUCGGGAGGCUGA